GAAAUGCGAUAAGUAGUAUGAAUUGCAGAAUUCAGUGAAUCAUCGAAUCUUUGAACGCACAUUGCGCCCCUUGGUAUUCCAUGGGGCAUGCCUGUUCGAGCGUCAUUUGUACCCUCAAGCUCUGCUUGGUGUUGGGUGUUUGUCCCCGUCUCCGCGCGUGGACUCGCCCCAAAGUGAUUGGCAGCCGGCGUACUGGUCCCGGAGCGCAGCACAUGUCGCGCAAACGAGUGCCUUGGUACGGCGGCGUCCAUAAGCCCCUCUCUCACGCUCUUGACCUCGGAUCAGGUAGGGAUACCCGCUGAACUUAAGC
This 310-nucleotide unclassified non-coding RNA is filed under the name plant metagenome. RNAcentral describes it as "partial contains 5.8S ribosomal RNA, internal transcribed spacer 2, and large subunit ribosomal RNA". The stretch from base 1 to 105 matches the Rfam family "5.8S ribosomal RNA", at positions 50 to 154 of the family's 154-position model. The record is from RNAcentral.